Tripterygium wilfordii is the source of this 77-nucleotide small nucleolar RNA. RefSeq annotates it as small nucleolar RNA R21. The record is from RefSeq and is a predicted model, not a curated record. Lineage: Eukaryota; Viridiplantae; Streptophyta; Magnoliopsida; Celastrales; Celastraceae. The transcript has a single exon.
CAUCCCUAUGAAGAGUGAGAUUAAAAAAAGUAGUGGGCUGACUGUUGUUGAUGAAACUGUGUUAAUUCUGAGGGAUG